ACGGAAGGCAGCAGUGGGGAAUAUUGCGCAAUGGGCGGAAGCCUGACGCAGCGACGCCGCGUGGGGGAUGACGGCCUUCGGGUUGUAAACCUCUUUCAGCAGGGACGAAGCCGGAAGGUGACGGUACCUGCAGAAGAAGCACCGGCCAACUACGUGCCAGCAGCCGCGGUAAUACGUAGGGUGCAAGCGUUGUCCGGAAUUAUUGGGCGUAAAGAGCUCGUAGGCGGUUGGUCGCGUCGGCUGUGAAAACCCGGAGCUCAACUCCGGGCCUGCAGUCGAUACGGGCCGACUUGAGUGUUGCAGGGGAGACUGGAAUUCCUGGUGUAGCGGUGAAAUGCGCAGAUAUCAGGAGGAACACCGGUGGCGAAGGCGGGUCUCUGGGCAACAACUGACGCUGAGGAGCGAAAGCGUGGGGAGCGAACAGGAUUAGAUACCCUGGUA
This 441-nucleotide ribosomal RNA is filed under the name uncultured Geodermatophilus sp. Its description in RNAcentral is "bacterial SSU rRNA". It matches the Rfam family "Bacterial small subunit ribosomal RNA", at positions 341 to 792 of the family's 1533-position model. The record is from RNAcentral. Lineage: Bacteria; Bacillati; Actinomycetota; Actinomycetes; Geodermatophilales; Geodermatophilaceae.